Propithecus coquereli (Coquerel's sifaka) is the source of this 858-nucleotide RNA transcript. It is a transcript of the gene named L-lactate dehydrogenase A chain pseudogene, with no coding region annotated. NCBI's taxonomy places the organism in Eukaryota, Metazoa, Chordata, Mammalia, Primates, Indriidae. The transcript is spliced from 3 exons. The record is from RefSeq and is a predicted model, not a curated record.
AUGCCUAUAGACCUGCAGCCAGACCACCUCUCAUGUGUGGCAACUUGCAAGGAUCAGCUGACUCAUAAUCUUCUAAAGGAAGAACAGACACCCCAGAAUAAGAUUACAGCUGUUGGGGCUGGUGUUGUUGGCAUGGCUGUGCCAUCAGCAUCUUAACGAAGGAUUUGGCAGAUGAGCUUGCUCUUGUUGAUGUCAUUGAAGACAAAUUGAAGGGAGAGAUGAUGGAUCCCCAACAUGGCAGCCUUUUCCUUAGAGCACCAAACAUCGUGUCUGGCAAAGACUAUGAUGCGACUCCAAACUCCAACCUGGUUAUUGUCACAGCUGGGGCACAUCAGCAGGAUGGAGAAAGCCGUCUUAAUUUGGUCCAGCGUAAUGUGAACAUCUUUAAAUUCAUCAUUCCUAAUGUUGUAAAAUACAGCCCAAAUUGCAAGUUGCUUAUUCUUUCGAAGCCAGUGGAUAUCUUGAUCUAUGUGACUUGGAAGAUAAGUGGCUUUCCCAAAAACUGUGUUACUGGAAGUGGUUGCAAUCUGGAUUCAGCCCGGUUCCGUUACUGAUGGUGGAGAAGCUGGGGGUUCAUCCGUUAAGCUGUCAUGGAUGGGUCCUCGGGGAGCGUGGAGACUCUGGUGUGCCUGUAUGGAGUGGAGUGAAUGUUGCUGGAAUUUCCCUGAAGAAUCUGCACCUGGAUUUAGGCACUGAUAAAGAUAAGGAACAGUGGAAAGAGGACAGGUACACUUUGGGGGAUCCAAAAAGAGCUGCAAUUUUACAGUCUCCUAGUGUCGCACCACUUCACUGUCUAGGCUACCACAGAUUUUAGUUGGGAGUUGUGCAUGUUGUCUUUUUUAUCUGAUCUGUGAUUAA